AGAUGGCCACUUUCUGAUCACGUGGAGAGGGAGAAGAAAAGGCUCGGGGAAUUUCACCACAAAUCUUCCUCGGUCUUAAUCUCUUGUGGCGUGUCCAACGAAGUUCCAGCGGUGAACUAUCACACAUUGAGAAUCCAGUCCAGUGUUGACGAGAUCCAGAGCCACCUCGUGAACUAUCACAGCUCGCCAUCGCAGGGUUAACCCGCAAGUCCACUAACCGUUGCUCGCCAUCCCGAAGAACCUGUUACCACUUGACACCGUCCCGACGAGUUGUUGCUGCCCACGCUCGCUAUCCCACAACAUCAACAACGCAAAGAGCUGCCGUGUCCCUCCUCGGCGAAGUCCGAUCAGAUCUAAGCCCCAUUGACGAAGCCUGGAUUUCCUUGAGACAAACCAAGCGCAUUGGCGCCAGCAAUUUUCCCCCGAGACGCUUGCAGCUUCCUGAUGAACCCCCGCUCAGCACAGAGACGUGAAGGGAACACGACACAUGCAGGACGGGAUAUAUGAUUCAUGCCUUGGCUUCUUCUUUGAUUAAAAUCUUGCCAUGUGUCUUUUAUCUAUUUAUUUAUUUAUUUAAGCAUAGUCUCAUGAAUGAUCCCAUAUUCUGAUCAUCACCAUAUUGACGUCUUCCCCC
Molecule: long non-coding RNA, 634 nt
Filed under: Eucalyptus grandis
Lineage: Eukaryota; Viridiplantae; Streptophyta; Magnoliopsida; Myrtales; Myrtaceae
Description: long non-coding RNA (EGRA_LNC002870)
Source: RNAcentral